RNAcentral lists this ribosomal RNA (236 nucleotides) under uncultured bacterium. RNAcentral describes it as "partial 16S ribosomal RNA". It matches the Rfam family "Bacterial small subunit ribosomal RNA", at positions 84 to 334 of the family's 1533-position model. The record is from RNAcentral.
CCUGAUGGCGAGUGGCGGACGGGUGAGUAAUGCAUAGGAAUCUGCCCUAUAGUGGGGGGACAACUACCGGAAACGGUAGCUAAUACCGCAUAAGCCCUACGGGGGAAAGGCUUCGGCCGCUAUUGGAUGAGCCUAUGUCGGAUUAGCUAGUUGGUAGGGUAAAGGCCUACCAAGGCGACGAUCCGUAGCUGGUCUGAGAGGAUGAUCAGCCACACUGGGACUGAGACACGGCCCAG